This is a non-coding RNA of Podiceps cristatus (great crested grebe), 76 nucleotides long. NCBI's taxonomy places the organism in Eukaryota, Metazoa, Chordata, Aves, Podicipediformes, Podicipedidae. The record is from Rfam.
CAAUCGGUGCUUUUCCACUCUGGAGUUGCGCAAAGCCAACGAGUCAGCACCACCAAAAAAAAAAAAAAAAAAAAAA